CGCUUCGCAUUGACUUCCACACACACACGCACACACACACACACACACGUCUUGUCGCUGUUAGCCAUUCGCCAACGCGCGCAUUUUACGUGUGCGUGCGCUUGCUUUGAACCCGCGCAACUUUCCGUUCAGCCUCUUCACAUGUCGAGCACCCCCGCCUUGAUCCAUGGCGAGUAUGUGAAUCGUAUGCUGAUACUCGCGGCUGCUGCCACCACCUUCGUCGGGUACGCAAGCAGUGUGUACUGGGAGCGCACCGUAGCACCGUAUCUGUUUCGGCGCCGCGAGUUGGCCCUGGAGCAGGAGAUUGCCGAUCUGGAGAGAGAGGCCAAAGAGAUCUGCACAACGUCGAAUCUGUACGAGCACAGCCGUCUUAUGCGUAGGGUGCUGCGGCUGCGUCAGGAGCUCGAGGCAGAACGCCAACAGCGCCUCACGUACGAGUUCUCGGUGGCUCGAGUCUUUUCGCCGCUUCUCAGUGGUGUCUCCUUCGCUUCAUGGUUUGCUCGGCCGACGCGCGACGCAGCCGCGGUGGCAAUAGCACCUGGCCGAGUAGGCAAGGCAAUAGCCGGCAACAAGCCCGGCGCCUUACCAGAUCUUUGCUCCACCACUAUCACAUCCUCCCCGACGCGGGCCCAUGCCGCCGAGUAUUCAACCACCGCUCCUCGUCGACUGCAGGUGCUCGUGGAGAGCGCGAUGAAUGCGCUCCGGUACAACGCUACCACUACUGUCAAGUAUCUCCUGCGCUUUGGAGGCGCUUUGGUGCUCCUGUACGUCUUCGGCAACCGGCGUGGGCUCAUGGCUGUUCCGCCAUCCUUCGAAGAGACACUGCGCUACUGCGCCGUCGAGGUGAUGGCGCCGUUACUCCUCAACGUCUUCAUGUACGUGCCAGCUCUCCUCUUUGCACCUGCAAGGCGCGCGUCGUUGGUCGAAACCCACGGAAGCAAGGCCGCGGGCGGUGCCGUUGGUGUCAUUCACAGCAGCUUCGCGGAAGCGAUUCCGCCAUCGUCGUCGGCAUCCUCGUUUUCUACCGUCACGAGCUCCGCGAGUGACGCCGGCACCACAGCACCGUUUCAGCGCGCAGACAUUCGCUUCUGUGCGAGGAAUGAUCUCGCGUCGUGGUUCUUGGCGUGCUACCUUGCCUGGUACUUGAUUGUGCGCGUGUUCGGUUGAUGGGUGGUGGUGGGGCUCACCGGAGCGCACACGGGAUGGGGUGUGAAGGAAUGUUUAGCAAGGGCGAAAGUCGGAAAGGAGGGGAGCAACGUCAUGGGAAAGCGCGCAAGCAGACACACAGGCGCAGAGGUGUCUGGUCGCGCCCCUUCUGGCAUGAUCAGGGGUCCUGUAUCGUGCUUUGGUGCUCUCACCCCCUCCGACGCUGCCUUUUCGCCCACGUCUUCCGGUGCUCCCGUUGCACCUCACUCUCAGGCACCUUUUUGUGCCCAGGACUGUUGCGGGCGCACGCUCUCCAUUUUUUCCGACUCUACUAAAGGACACUCCCGUGCUCUUCGAGGGGGGGUGCAGCCUCAGCCCUGUUUCUGUGGGCGGCAUACGAGAGGCGCCGCUCACCCAUCCACACAUUGCCAGUCCUCCUUCCCGUUGUGCAUGUGCUUUGCAAGUGUGUCGUUGCCACUGCGGAGCAGCUCUACGGUGUGUUGGACCCGUAAGCGGCGGCGAUGGCCACGAUGGGGUGGGGCACUCACGAUUGUUUUAGGAGCGGCAGUGCGCGGAUGCGGGAGUCAGCGUAUGUGUGUGGCCGCCUCGGCAUCGCUUCAUCAAAGGAAGGAAAAGA
Molecule: unclassified non-coding RNA, 1783 nt
Filed under: Leishmania donovani
Lineage: Eukaryota; Euglenozoa; Kinetoplastea; Trypanosomatida; Trypanosomatidae
Description: gene:LdHU3.33.1440(CDS-product:hypothetical_prote in_conserved)
Source: RNAcentral